GACGAACGCUGGCGGCGUGCUUAACACAUGCAAGUCGAGCGAUGAAACACCUUCGGGUGCGGAUUAGCGGCGAACGGGUGAGGAACACGUGAGGAAUCUGCCUUCCACUCUGGGAUAACUCCGGGAAACCGGGGCUAAUACGGGAUACUUUCAAUGGGCGGCAUCGCCGGUUGAAGCAAGAUUUUCGGUGGAAGAUGACCUCGCGGCCUAUCAGCUUGGUGGUGAGGUAAAGGCUCACCAAGGCGACGACGGGUAGCCGGCCUGAGAGGGCGACCGGCCACACUGGGACUGAGACACGGCCCAGACUCCUACGGGAGGCAGCAGUGGGGAAUAUUGGGCAAUGGAGGAAACUCUGACCCAGCGACGCCGCGUGAGGGAUGAAGGCCUUCGGGUUGUAAACCUCUUUCAGCAGGGAAUAAGCGAAAGUGAAGGUACCUGCAGAAGAAGCACCGGCUAACUAUGUGCCAGCAGCCGCAGUAA
This 480-nucleotide ribosomal RNA is filed under the name uncultured bacterium. RNAcentral's name for it is "partial 16S ribosomal RNA". It matches the Rfam family "Bacterial small subunit ribosomal RNA", at positions 28 to 523 of the family's 1533-position model. The record is from RNAcentral.